AACGUAGGUGACGAGCGUUAUCCGGAUUUACUGGGCGUAAAGCGUGUGCAGGCGGGAAGGUAAGUGGUGUAUGAAAGCUCUGAGCUUAACUCAGAGAGGUUAUGCCAGACUGCCCUCCUAGAGGUGGUAAGAGGGACAUGGAAUUCCGGGUGUAGUGGUGAAAUGCGUAGAGAUCCGGAGGAACUCCAGAGGCGAAGGCGGUGUCCUGGUACCAACCUGACGCUCAGACACGAAAGCAUGGGGAGCGAACGGG
RNAcentral lists this ribosomal RNA (253 nucleotides) under uncultured bacterium. RNAcentral's name for it is "partial 16S ribosomal RNA". It matches the Rfam family "Bacterial small subunit ribosomal RNA", at positions 524 to 776 of the family's 1533-position model. The record is from RNAcentral.